This is a long non-coding RNA of Choloepus didactylus (southern two-toed sloth), 521 nucleotides long. RefSeq lists it as uncharacterized. NCBI's taxonomy places the organism in Eukaryota, Metazoa, Chordata, Mammalia, Pilosa, Megalonychidae. The transcript is spliced from 4 exons. The record is from RefSeq and is a predicted model, not a curated record.
UUUGAUUUCUGUGGAGCUUAGACCUGGAAUCAGAAGACUUCAGGCAAGAAACAUGCAAUGGAGACAACAAAUGAGUCUUGUUCUACAUUCUUCUGCCAGUUGAGGGGCAGGAGAGGAGUUUGAGAAGAAGAAUCCAUAUAGCCUUCAAUCUUGGAUGGACUCCCAGUCAAGGAAUCCUGUCUUCUCUGGAUAUGAAGCAGAAGGGUGAUCCAAGCUCCACUGAAGAAACUCCUGGAUGCUAAGAGUGGGAACAGAUGGGGCCUUGGUGGACAAUACCUACCUGAGACUCUGGUGAUAGUCUUGCUGCCAUCUGCACAAAUAUCCAACUGCUUUGAACUGCUCUGUUUAAAUUCUUUCAUGUUGGAGAAGAGAAUGGCCAAACAUGGACUGAUGAUGUCAACUUUCAUCUCAUUUAAAAUCUAACCUUUAAUUUUUUUUAUCUUCAUUUUAUUGAGAUAUAUUCACAUACCACACAGUCAUACGAAACAAAUCGUACAUUCGAUUGUUCACAGUACCAUUAC